CAGCAGCCGCGGGAAUACAGAGGGUGCAAGCGUUAAUCGGAAUUACUGGGCGUAAAGCGCGCGUAGGUGGUUUGUUAAGUUGGAUGUGAAAUCCCCGGGCUCAACCUGGGAACUGCAUCCAAAACUGGCAAGCUAGAGUAUGGUAGAGGGUGGUGGAAUUUCCUGUGUAGCGGUGAAAUGCGUAGAUAUAGGAAGGAACACCAGUGGCGAAGGCGACCACCUGGACUGAUACUGACACUGAGGUGCGAAAGCGUGGGGAGCAAACAGGAUUAGAGACCCGCGUAGUCCCUGUCUCUUAUAC
Molecule: ribosomal RNA, 301 nt
Filed under: uncultured bacterium
Lineage: Bacteria
Description: partial 16S ribosomal RNA
Rfam family: Bacterial small subunit ribosomal RNA
Source: RNAcentral